Long non-coding RNA from Mesocricetus auratus (golden hamster), 1931 nucleotides. RefSeq lists it as uncharacterized. The record is from RefSeq and is a predicted model, not a curated record. The transcript has 3 exons. Lineage: Eukaryota; Metazoa; Chordata; Mammalia; Rodentia; Cricetidae.
GCAGAAGUCUGGAGAGUCACCUGAUUAGUGAGAGUCGGUCUUCUAAGCCACUUCCGCCCUAACCUAGUUGCCAUAGUAACAGAGCCUCCAGAGGAGGGCCAGGGGAAGGAGUUUGGAACCAGCUGAGUCGGAAUGGAUGGGUCUGUCUGGCCCAGUGUUCCCAUUCACGUACAAAAAAAGCCGAGCUUUAUGGUUGAGAGGGGAGCCGCCACCGAGAGGAUUCCUGAGACCAGAGAUCCAUCCGGCAGUCCACCAGUUCUUCAACAAUCGACUCAGACCCGCAAGUCCACGACACUUCUAGCUUCUAGUACUAGUAAGCUUAGCCACAAAGUGUGUCAACCACCCAGGAGACUCACCUCUGCGGGUGGGAUGCUUAUGUUCUGCCUAGAAAUCCUUUACUGCUUGUGACGAAUUCUUGCUUAGCCAUAUUUCUGCUGGGGCAGGAAUCCUUUCUUCAAAAAGACUUCGCUCAUCUCUCUGGGAUUCUUGAAUUAGGAACCUUGCCUCUACCACCAUCCAGUUUAUUCUAUUGUGUAGCCUUUGUCUGUUUGGGGAGAGGUACUCAUCAUGUACUUCGGUCUGCCUCAGCUCGCCAAGUGCUGGGAUUACAGGUAUGCGUGUGCAUAUGUGUGCGCCUGAAGAGGUCAGAAGUUAGCCUCAAGUAUUGUUCAUCAGGAGCCGUCCACCACGUGUUUUGAGACAGGGGCUCUCAUUAGCCUGGAACUUAUCAAGUAGGGCGAGAAUGGCCAGCCUGUGAACCCUAAGGAUCCUGUCUCUGCUUUCCUAGCACUUGGAUUAAAGGUUGGACAACAACAUGGAGAAAUUCUUCUGCUCAAAAUCAUCUGAUAGAGACUACAAAUCUCCCUGAGUUAAAAAAAAAACUGUCAAAAACUCAAAAACAUGUAUUUAACAGGCUUCUUGCCCCUGGAAGACAGAGAACCCAGGAAGGAUAUCUCCAAAGGGACCACAGUAGACAGCAAAUCCAUGCCAUUGCCUUGCAAUGAGAAUAUUUUAAAAGCAUGAACGUAGGCAAGUCACUUCCUUCCCCAUCAAAAGGCACAGUAAAGAAGAUACUAUAGGUUAUUACGUGGAGCAGCUCAAACUGCUUGUCCCUAUGACAGAAAGUUCAGUACUUCUCCAGGACCAGAUAAUCACAUCAACAGUCAACUAGGACUAAUGCCUAUGUCAUUGGAUAAACUGUGAUGGAGGUCCAGCAUGGGUUACCUUGCAGCCACCAGCAUUCAAGAAAUGACUUUGACAAAUGGCAAGAAAUAUUUGUGACUAAACAGUAAGACAAAACUGGAUUUAGAGCUGUAUCUAUAGCAUGUUCUUGACUUUAUAUAAUAUGUACUAAUAGAAGUAACAUGGGCGGUGGUGGGUCACACCUUUAAUCCCAGCACUCGGGAGGCAGAGGCAGGUGGAUCUCUGUGUGUUUGAGGCCAGCCUGGUCUACAGAGUGAGUUCCAGAACAUCUAGGGCUGUAACACAGAGAAACCUGGCUUGGGGGGUGUGGUGGGGGAAGUAACCACCAGAUAGCUAAUUUACCUUAUUUUCUUUCUGAUUACCUCUACUUUUCAAGAUUCCCAUAAUUCCAAGUUCCUAUGAACUGGAACUCCCAGACUGGUCUCCAACUCAAUAGAUCCAACUGCCUCUGCCUCCAGAGUCCCUACCACUGCCCUGCUAAGGACACCUUGAGUAGCAUGCUCUUUCUCCCUCAUUUUCUCCAACUAUAGAUAAGGCGUGUGGGAUGCUUUGCCUUGUAUGGGGAAAGCAGUGGUGUGAUUUUAAUUCUGCCCCUGGUUCACUGAAGGCCUCAAUUCUUCUUGAAGGAGGACCUUCAAGAAGGAAAACCAGGCCCAUUGGAGUUCCAGCCUUGUCCACAAAGUGAGUUCCAGGACAGCCAGAGCUAUACUCAGAGAAGCUGUCUCAAA